GGAGUCGGCCAGGCAAUCGCGUCACCCCUUCGGGGGUGCCGAGGAAAGUCCGGGCUCCACAGGGCAGGGUGCCAGGUAACGCCUGGGCGGCGCGAGCCGACGGAAAGUGCAGCAGAGAACAGACCGCCGAACGGCAUCGCAAGGUGCGCGUGGUAAGGGUGAAACGGUGCGGUAAGAGCGCACCGCCUGCGGGGCCAACGCCGCAGGGCACGGCAAACCCCACCCGGAGCAAGGCCAAAUAGGGGUGCUAUGGUGCGGCCCGCACUGCACCCGGGUAGGCUGCUUGAGGCCUGCAGCAAUGCAGCGUCCAGACGAAUGAUUGCCCACGACAGAACCCGGCUUAUCGGCCGGCUCCGCAC
RNAcentral lists this RNase P RNA (359 nucleotides) under Alkalisalibacterium limincola. RNAcentral describes it as "Bacterial RNase P class A". It matches the Rfam family "Bacterial RNase P class A". From Rfam's summary of the family: Ribonuclease P (RNase P) is a ubiquitous endoribonuclease, found in archaea, bacteria and eukarya as well as chloroplasts and mitochondria. Its best characterised activity is the generation of mature 5'-ends of tRNAs by cleaving the 5'-leader elements of precursor-tRNAs. The record is from Rfam by way of RNAcentral. Lineage: Bacteria; Pseudomonadati; Pseudomonadota; Gammaproteobacteria; Lysobacterales; Lysobacteraceae.